UCCUAGUACGAGAGGACCGGAGUGGACGCAUCACUGGUGUUCGGGUUGUCAUGCCAAUGGCACUGCCCGGUAGCUAAAUGCGGAAGAGAUAAGUGCUGAAAGCAUCUAAGCACGAAACUUGCCCCGAGAUGAGUUCUCCCUGACCCUUUAAGGGUCCUGAAGGAACGUUGAAGACGACGACGUUGAUAGGCCGGGUGUGUAAGCGCAGCGAUGCGUUGAGCUAACCGGUACUAAUGAACCGUGAGGCUUAACCUU
This 255-nucleotide ribosomal RNA is filed under the name Escherichia coli. RNAcentral's name for it is "partial 23S ribosomal RNA". It matches the Rfam family "Bacterial large subunit ribosomal RNA", at positions 2676 to 2925 of the family's 2925-position model. The record is from RNAcentral. Lineage: Bacteria; Pseudomonadati; Pseudomonadota; Gammaproteobacteria; Enterobacterales; Enterobacteriaceae. RNAcentral also lists the same sequence under 2 other names.